CAUCUGACCCACUGUGUAGAGAGUUGCAACUUGUUAUGGAGCGAAUUAGAGAUAAAGAUGGAAACACUGAAUUGAAGGAUGUGAAGAAAGUGUUGCUGAUGAAUUCAAAACAAGAUUUUCCCCUUGGUCGGCAGCACGAUGCAGCAGAUUUUGUCACAUGGCUACUGAGUUUAGAACCUCACCCAAGUCCAUUUCAUGUAGAAAUGUCACAUAUUCGUGAAUGAAUGGAAUGCAAAGAGAUCCAUAGGAUGAAUGAAGAAACCAACAUGUUGCUGUUCGAAAUGCCUCAAAGAAGUUUGUUGACAUUUAUGCAUUUGACAUCAAUUUGUACAAAUUAUGCUCCUAGAAUCAACAAUGGCCGCACCCUAUAGGCUUUGCACUUCUUGCAACAAUCGUACAUGGUCAAUCAUGAGUUAUGAGUUUGAGGCAGUUAACUCUCCAUUCAUCAUGGUUUAGAUGAAAAGAUUCCAGAGGCUUGGAGAUAGACAUUCUAAAGUUCUUAGUCGCGUGCACUUA
This is a long non-coding RNA of Dreissena polymorpha, 516 nucleotides long. RefSeq lists it as uncharacterized. Lineage: Eukaryota; Metazoa; Mollusca; Bivalvia; Myida; Dreissenidae. The transcript is spliced from 4 exons. The record is from RefSeq and is a predicted model, not a curated record.